Molecule: long non-coding RNA, 2626 nt
Filed under: Setaria italica (foxtail millet)
Lineage: Eukaryota; Viridiplantae; Streptophyta; Magnoliopsida; Poales; Poaceae
Description: long non-coding RNA (SITA_LNC005481)
Source: RNAcentral
UCGGUUUGGCCUCAAAAUCGGGGGGCGAGUCCGGUGCGGCCGGACGGCGUCGAGUCGAAGGACACGUGGUACCAUCGCGAAGCUUGCGUCGAGGUGAAGCAUAGUCAUGAACGCGUCGGGUCCGUAUGAUGCUUUCCUAUUACCGUUCUAAUCGUUUUCCACUCCGGAUGCCUACGUAGAUAUGGAGCUCUUGUAGGUUGUUUGGUGGUGGGGUUCUUAUUCUUUGAGAGCAUUUAGGUGAGAGAGGGAGAGAGAUGAGAGGGACUUUUGAUCUUAGUUUUUACUGUGCUUAACCGAAUAAGGUAGAGUAAUAAAGAUUCAUUCUCGUGCUUGCUUCACUUUGUCACCCGAGCGUUUUUCUUUUUCUGCGUUUUCGGGUGAUUUUCUUGUGAAUUUUCGUUCGUCGGUUUCGAGGACGAUUUGAGCCGGAUUUCCUGAGGGGUUUCGGUGCUAGGAUAUGUGAGAAGAUAUCUUGAUCAUCAAUUGAUCCUUUCCCCUCACGAGCAUCUCGAAUUUAAGGUUUUUCUAUGAGAUCCUCUUUUCUAGGUCUCUUCGGUUCUUUGCGAAAUUGAUGGGCAAAUCAUGAGCCACUUGGGUGGAUCUCUUAGCUGGUGAUUCAUCACAUCUCAUUGUGCCUACAGUUCAAAUCUUGUGUCAAUCGGAGUUGAUUUGGUCGAAUUCUGUGAAUUCGUGGUUGAGCUCGUCGGGCUGCUUUGUCUCUGGAAGUCAGCACCGUUUGGUCCGGUGCCGGUUCUAUUGCUUUGGGUCCUAGCCAUCGUAUGCUCCGGUGGAUCUGUUUUUCCUCGCGCUGAAUUUCUCUAGCUGUGUGCUCGAUCCUGCUCGGCUCUGUGCUUUAAGCGAUUCAGAGCAGCAGCAAAGCUUGGUCCUUUGUUUAUCGAUUUGCAAAUUGCAACAACUCAGCUGCAUCGUCUUUCAGGGAAUCAGUUCAGUCCUGUGCAAUAGUGUAGGGAUCAGAAAUAGCAGCAGCGGCUGUCUCUUCACUCUCGGUUUCCUGCAUCAGCGCAUUGCACUUUUAUUCUCUGUUCUUUGUUUUCUGUGUGCAGGUUUCAGACUGACAGUGGGAAUAGGCGAGCUGCUCAUCUUGGUGUUCGACAGAAAACCAUCAGUAGGUAGAGUAAUCACGGUGAGCUUGCAAGAUUAGAGUGAUUUGUGUUUCGGUCAACUACUAGCAAGCAAGUUCAUUGCGCUGUGCCGAUCUUGUGCAUGUGUUGACUGCCAGGAGCUCUCUAGCUUUAUUUUUGUCUGGCAUUUCGAUCAGUUCAGCUACUGAGUAUAGAAGUAAUCUUUGUGAUGUGUCAUUUUCGAGCUACAGUGAUGCAACAAUGAAUUGACUUCAAGCAAUCAUGAGCAAAUCAUUUGGGUAUUAAUUUAUUUGGUUUUGCUUGCUCAAGUGUGCUCGGGAAGGCUUUUAGGUGCUCUUAAUUUUCGUGCUGGCUGAUGUGUACUGCUUUUCAGUUUCAGUUCAGAACACAACAGCACGUACAGUAGUGGUACAGCAGCACUGGUGUUACAUGAGCUCUUGCAUGCUUUGUCUAGUUAGCUUGUUUUUUUUCAUAUGAUCAAUUAGAGCUCUUUUGACGGGUUAAUUUGGUGAGAGUUUCGUAACCUGUGUUGUCUUAUUUCACUUCCUCAUUGCUUUGAGAAUUCCUAAUCCAUUCCUAGGGUGACAUCGUCACUAGUUGGCUUGUGUCACCUUAGGUUUUAAUGUGAGAUGUGGUUGGGGUGGCAAUGGAGACAUAGGCUUGUGCUGGGAUAUCCCCCCUCCCCCUCCCCAGUCGCCCAUCCCGGCCCUUCAAUAUCAAUCACACAGAUUGUUUUAUAAUCUCACAGAUUGUUGGGCUCUUUUUUUUUUCUUUCAAAUAAUGUCUUGGUUGAUGGAUUGAUGAAACAGUACAAUAGAAAGCACACGAUUGGUAGACACGGUUAUCUGCAUUGAUUUGCUGAGCUUCCUAUAAAAUGGCUUCUGGAUGGCAAGCUAUUGAUCUACAAGCACUCUAGUUGUAGAAGCUACGCUCAUCUGAAUAAUGAAGAGGUGAGUUAGCCACCGCAUUGCUCUUCCUCCUGUGCAGUCUAAGAAACUGCAGGUUCUUACGAAAACUGAGGCAUGUACACACAUUUCCCCUUGGUUUAGGUUCAAAUUUCCGGAUCCAGUCAAUUCGUGAAUGUGAGGGGUCGAUCUAUCAUGCUUCAUAAUUACAGUAUGUAGCUGCAUCUCGGCAUGCGAAGCAUCAGGAAAUACGAUGUGCAGAAAAGAAGAAGGCGAGGCUGCUUGGUGGACAUACUUUGUUAUCGAUGUUGCUGCUGGAGAUGGACCAAGCAUUCGCAACAGACAUGGAUAUCCAUUCCCUCGGGCAGGACCCUAUGCCCUGCAAAGCCGAGUUCUUCACUAAGUACGCAGACGCCGACGCCCGUUAAGCCUUCCCCAAGAUUUCUGAACCACGCUCAUCUCUCCACGUGCAAGAACGAAUCAGAAAACCUGUGUGGGUGACAAACUGCAGGCACGCCGUCAGCAGCAACUUGCCAUGAAGGAUCGGAAGCUCCUCGAUGAAAAAUCUAUUUCCUUUUCUAGAUUUUAUACAUGACAACUCAGGGGGUGAGAAUUCAU